UACGUAGGGGGCGAGCGUUGUCCGGAAUUACUGGGCGUAAAGGGUACGCAGGCGGUUUCAUAAGUCAGGUGUAAAAGGCAUUGGCUCAACCAAUGUAAGCAUUUGAGACUGUGAGGCUUGAGUAUAGGAGAGGUGAGUGGAAUUCCUAGUGUAGCGGUGAAAUGCGUAGAUAUUAGGAGGAACACCAGUGGCGAAGGCGACUUACUGGACUAUAACUGACGCUGAGGUACGAAAGCUAGGGGCACGAACC
This 250-nucleotide ribosomal RNA is filed under the name uncultured bacterium. RNAcentral's name for it is "partial 16S ribosomal RNA". It matches the Rfam family "Bacterial small subunit ribosomal RNA", at positions 524 to 774 of the family's 1533-position model. The record is from RNAcentral.